AACUUUCAACAACGGAUCUCUUGGUUCUGGCAUCGAUGAAGAACGCAGCAAAAUGCGAUAAGUAAUGUGAAUUGCAGAAUUCAGUGAAUCAUCGAAUCUUUGAACGCACAUUGCGCCCGCCAGUAUUCUGGCGGGCAUGCCUGUUCGA
This 148-nucleotide ribosomal RNA is filed under the name Fusarium pseudograminearum. RNAcentral describes it as "5.8S ribosomal RNA". It matches the Rfam family "5.8S ribosomal RNA". Rfam says of the family: 5.8S ribosomal RNA (5.8S rRNA) is a component of the large subunit of the eukaryotic ribosome. It is transcribed by RNA polymerase I as part of the 45S precursor that also contains 18S and 28S rRNA. Functionally, it is thought that 5.8S rRNA may be involved in ribosome translocation. Lineage: Eukaryota; Fungi; Ascomycota; Sordariomycetes; Hypocreales; Nectriaceae. The record is from RNAcentral.